AACAGCUCCGGGGACCACUAACAAGGGGAGUGUUUACGGGGGUGGGAUGAAUUAGGAGAUUGGGAUUGACAUAUAAACACUACUGUGUAUUGUAUAAAGUGGCAGAGAGCCCAGCGUUCCUGCCUUGCGCCUUCCUGCUGUGACCUUGGGAAAGCUGCUUGUGAUGUCAUGCCAUGCCGCCUUGACCUUGGGUUGCUGAGACCCUAGCAACACUCCCCACCAGGCUGUGGACCCAGCCUUCAGCACAUACUUAGUGCCAGGCACUGCUAGGAGCUGGGGCCAUGCAGCAGACAAGACAAGUGGCCCUACUCUGUUGACCCCGAAAGCCUGGCCGGGAACACGGGUGUUAACCAAUUCAUCACAAGUUUGGGAGGUGAACCAGUUCAGCCCCAGAGUGGCGUGGCCUGGCCCGGUUUAUGCACUGAAUAUUCCCCCGCCUGCCGGGAGCAUCUGCCUGUUCGGGACCUCGGGUCAGGGCUAGUUCUGUGGGUAACACACACAUCAUCAUCACCGUCAGUAAAUGAGAGUGGCUUGGCUAAUGGGUCGCUUUGGGACAUAGGUGAUCUGGAAAAUGUGUCCACGUUUCUUGAACAGAGGCAGAUUUCAGAGGUGGUGCUAAUCUUUUUAUGGUUUAUGGCAUAUGCUACUGAAAUGUGAGGGUGCUGGGCACCCUGGCCUCUGGCCUGCAUCCCCCAACACGGUUCCCACACCUGGAAGGAACGCCUGCCCUCUGUCACACCAGGUGUUCUCAUGGAGGCUGUGACAGCACAUGCUUGCAGCACUCAGGAUUUUCCAGUGCCUGGGACCUGGCACUGGGCCGACUCCGUGCCACUUGAGGUGAGGCACUGGUCCCCCUGGGCACUGACAUCCCAAGGCUUCCCUCGGGGAGCUGCUCUGGUCCACGUGGUGAGGAUGUUGGAGCAGCCUCAGUAGACCGGUCGUGUGACCGAAUCUCACCACCCAAGGCACAGAUCUGAGUUCCAGGACGGAAGAGGUGAUGGAUGAGAAAGUGCCUCCUUCCAGCACUGCCAUCCGCCUCCCAGGCCCUGGAGAUGGGCCAGCCGUGGUGGCUCUGGGCCGCUGGGGCAAAGCUGCAGAGCCUGGUGGUGGGUGAACUCGCACAAGAAACUGGCCCCAGAAGGUGGGAGCUCAAGGCCAGCUAGAAUCCUCCGUUCAGUCCUCAGUGGUCGGGGGGCUUCCACUGGAGCUGCGCUGCCAGGCAUUGAGGUGGGACCGAGCAAGCAGGCAGCCUGCCCUCGGAAAGCACAGGAUUUCCCCACUUUGUGACACAAGAGGAAGAGGCACAAUAAAAGUGUAUAGAGCG
RNAcentral lists this long non-coding RNA (1324 nucleotides) under Phocoena sinus (vaquita). RNAcentral describes it as "lncRNA (ENSPSNG00000017025.1)". Lineage: Eukaryota; Metazoa; Chordata; Mammalia; Artiodactyla; Phocoenidae. The record is from RNAcentral.